CAAUAGCGCAUAUUAACGUUGUUGCAGUUAAAAAGCUCGUAGUUGGAUUUCUGGAGGGAGCGUCGGCCCGUAUUUACGAGUGCGUGACGUCUCUGUCCAUCCUUGCGGGAAGGCACGGCAUUGAUUUGUUGUGUCGGAUCGCAUCAUUUACUGUGAAAAAAUUAGAGUGUUCAAAGCAGGCUUUCGCUUGAAUACAUUAGCAUGGAAUAAUAAGAUAGGACUUUGGUGCUAUUUUGUUGGUUGAGCCUAAAGUAAUGAUUAAUAGGGAUAGUUGGGGGCACCUGUAUUGCGUUGUCAGAGGUGAAAUUCUUGGAUUUACGCAAGACAAACAGCUGCGAAAGCGUCUGCCAAGGAUGUUUUCAUUAA
This 366-nucleotide ribosomal RNA is filed under the name uncultured eukaryote. RNAcentral's name for it is "partial 18S ribosomal RNA". It matches the Rfam family "Eukaryotic small subunit ribosomal RNA", at positions 592 to 976 of the family's 1831-position model. The record is from RNAcentral.